Long non-coding RNA from Rattus rattus (black rat), 536 nucleotides. RefSeq lists it as uncharacterized. Lineage: Eukaryota; Metazoa; Chordata; Mammalia; Rodentia; Muridae. The transcript is spliced from 3 exons. The record is from RefSeq and is a predicted model, not a curated record.
GGUGCAGCACUACAGGUCUGCUGGUAUACACAGUCAGAACAGAAUGCCUGGCCAUAGCCUCCCUGCGACCACCCUGUCUCCAGCUCGAUUGUCCCUGGGUGAGCCUCUCUGUGCUUCUCUGUAGCAAACCAUACUGACUCCAGGAGCCCAGGUCCUAUCACCUAUAUCUUGGGACUAUUGGUCUUCCCUGGCCUCUCGAGGAUCGAGUCAGUCCUCUCUCUCAUGUCCGCCUGCUACCUCUCUGAUGGACUGUGGUUCUGGUGACAGGAGCCUGGAGCCUGUUUAAAGUCCUCAUAGAACCUGACCGUGGUCCCGGCAUGGCCCGCCCAACGUUAAUGCCAGCUUAGGUCAUGGGCAAAGCUGAGACCUUUGGCUUGUCUGAUGGCCAUCUCAGGUUACCAGUGGUGGAAACCAAGGGCCAUAGGGACUGAGGAAAAGUUAAUCGAUGCUAGAAUCAGAAGUGAAAAUUGGUGUUGCGGGCUGGAGAGAUGGCUCAGCGGUUAGGAGCACUGACUGCUCUUCCAGAGGUCCUGAGC